GCCAGGUGUAGUAGCAUACACCUGUAGUCCCAGCUACUUGGGAGGCUGAGGUGGAGGGAUCACUUGAACCCAGGAGUUCAAGGCUGCACUGAGCCAUGAUUGUGCCACUGCACCCCAGCCUGGGUGACAAAGCGAGACUCUGUCUCAA
This is a non-coding RNA of Homo sapiens (human), 148 nucleotides long. It matches the Rfam family "Metazoan signal recognition particle RNA". From Rfam's summary of the family: The signal recognition particle (SRP) is a universally conserved ribonucleoprotein. Lineage: Eukaryota; Metazoa; Chordata; Mammalia; Primates; Hominidae. The record is from Rfam.